This 1450-nucleotide ribosomal RNA is filed under the name Salmonella enterica subsp. enterica serovar Braenderup. RNAcentral's name for it is "partial 23S ribosomal RNA". It matches the Rfam family "Bacterial large subunit ribosomal RNA", at positions 711 to 2141 of the family's 2925-position model. Lineage: Bacteria; Pseudomonadati; Pseudomonadota; Gammaproteobacteria; Enterobacterales; Enterobacteriaceae. The record is from RNAcentral.
AGACCCGAAACCCGGUGAUCUAGCCAUGGGCAGGUUGAAGGUUGGGUAACACUAACUGGAGGACCGAACCGACUAAUGUUGAAAAAUUAGCGGAUGACCUGUGGCUGGGGGUGAAAGGCCAAUCAAACCGGGAGAUAGCUGGUUCUCCCCGAAAGCUAUUUAGGUAGCGCCUCGUGAAUUCAUCUCCGGGGGUAGAGCACUGUUUCGGCUAGGGGGCCAUCCCGGCUUACCAACCCGAUGCAAACUGCGAAUACCGGAGAAUGUUAUCACGGGAGACACACGGCGGGUGCUAACGUCCGUCGUGAAGAGGGAAACAACCCAGACCGCCAGCUAAGGUCCCAAAGUCAUGGUUAAGUGGGAAACGAUGUGGGAAGGCCCAGACAGCCAGGAUGUUGGCUUAGAAGCAGCCAUCAUUUAAAGAAAGCGUAAUAGCUCACUGGUCGAGUCGGCCUGCGCGGAAGAUGUAACGGGGCUAAACCAUGCACCGAAGCUGCGGCAGCGACGCUUAUGCGUUGUUGGGUAGGGGAGCGUUCUGUAAGCCUGCGAAGGUGGCCUGUGAGGGUUGCUGGAGGUAUCAGAAGUGCGAAUGCUGACAUAAGUAACGAUAAAGCGGGUGAAAAGCCCGCUCGCCGGAAGACCAAGGGUUCCUGUCCAACGUUAAUCGGGGCAGGGUGAGUCGACCCCUAAGGCGAGGCCGAAAGGCGUAGUCGAUGGGAAACGGGUUAAUAUUCCCGUACUUGGUGUUACUGCGAAGGGGGGACGGAGAAGGCUAUGUUGGCCGGGCGACGGUUGUCCCGGUUUAAGCGUGUAGGUGUGUGUUCCAGGUAAAUCCGGUUCACUUUAACACUGAGGCGUGACGACGAGGCACUACGGUGCUGAAGCAACAAAUGCCCUGCUUCCAGGAAAAGCCUCUAAGCAUCAGGUAACAUCAAAUCGUACCCCAAACCGACACAGGUGGUCAGGUAGAGAAUACCAAGGCGCUUGAGAGAACUCGGGUGAAGGAACUAGGCAAAAUGGUGCCGUAACUUCGGGAGAAGGCACGCUGACACGUAGGUGAAGUGAUUUACUCACGGAGCUGAAGUCAGUCGAAGAUACCAGCUGGCUGCAACUGUUUAUUAAAAACACAGCACUGUGCAAACACGAAAGUGGACGUAUACGGUGUGACGCCUGCCCGGUGCCGGAAGGUUAAUUGAUGGGGUCAGCGCAAGCGAAGCUCCUGAUCGAAGCCCCGGUAAACGGCGGCCGUAACUAUAACGGUCCUAAGGUAGCGAAAUUCCUUGUCGGGUAAGUUCCGACCUGCACGAAUGGCGUAAUGAUGGCCAGGCUGUCUCCACCCGAGACUCAGUGAAAUUGAACUCGCUGUGAAGAUGCAGUGUACCCGCGGCAAGACGGAAAGACCCCGUGAACCUUUACUAUAGCUUGACACUGAACAUUGAGCCUUGAUGUGUAG